GUAUGGGUGACACAUCAUUAC
This 21-nucleotide non-coding RNA is filed under the name Arabidopsis thaliana (thale cress). The record is from RNAcentral. Lineage: Eukaryota; Viridiplantae; Streptophyta; Magnoliopsida; Brassicales; Brassicaceae.